This 408-nucleotide ribosomal RNA is filed under the name uncultured bacterium. Its description in RNAcentral is "partial 16S ribosomal RNA". It matches the Rfam family "Bacterial small subunit ribosomal RNA", at positions 28 to 526 of the family's 1533-position model. The record is from RNAcentral.
GACGAACGCUGGCGGCGUGCUUAACACAUGCAAGUCGAACGAAGUGGCGAACGGGUGAGUAACGCGUAAUCAACCUGCCCUUCCGAGGGGGACAACAGUUGGAAACGACUGCUAAUACCGCAUACUGAAGGAGGGGAUUGCGUCUGAUUAGCUAGUUGGCGGGGUAACGGCCCACCAAGGCGAUGAUCAGUAGCCGGUUCGGGAGGAGUGACGGCAACAUUGGGACUGGGACACGGCCCAGACUCCUACGGGAGGCAGCAGUGGGGAAUCUUCCGCAAUGGACGAAAGUCUGACGAAGCAACGCCGGGUGAGUGAGGACGGCCUUCGGGUUGGAAAGCUCUGUUAAGCGGGACGCGGUACCGGAAUAGAAAGCCACGGCUAACUACGUGCCAGCAGCCGCGGUAAUAC